CUAUCCCUAUGUCAAAAGACGAAAAAAAUUGCCUGAUCCAAUUGAAAAGGAAAAAGGAGUGAGCCUCUGGUCGAUGAUUAAGGACAACAUUGGAAAGGAUCUUACCAAAGUUUGCCUUCCUGUGUAUUUCAAUGAACCACUUUCAUCCCUGCAAAAAUGUUUUGAGGACUUGGAAUAUUCUUACCUUGUUGAUCGAGCUUAUGAGUAUGGCAAAAAGGUAGGCCGUUGGAUGUACAAAUAUUGGAUAAAAGUGAUCUAAAUUGUUUAUAAUUAUUAAAAGUAACUUGAGAAGCUUUCAUUUCGGUUUAUUUUAUCUGGGAUUGAUUUAUCUGUAAAUUCCAUUCACUUCAUCAACAAAUUUUCAUUGCAAUAUAUUUUGAAUCAAAGUUUUUUCUUGAUGUAAGUUUGCAUUAGCUGUUGUGUGACCAUUUCUAUUCCAAAUUGGAACUUGGAUGUCAAACCAAUUAAUGUCAUGAUAAGUUUCUUGAUGGACAAGUUCAUUACUAAAGUGAAUUAAUGUUACAUUUGGUCUUUCUUUUUAUUGUUGCAAUAUUAUCAACAAGCUUAAAUGCGUACCAUUGCUCAUAUUCAACGUUUACUUCAACAAUUUUACAAUGUAUUCAUUCUGGAAAACACCAUGCUAAGCUGUAAACAGGCAAGUAUAAUAAUAAAAGAUAAAAUGUCUGACAUUUGCAUCUGUUUUUAUAUUUAGAGUUACUAGCAAUGUUGUAAAGAUUUUUUUUAAUAUUCAAGUCAUGUUAUUUUGAGUUUUCACAUCUUUAUCUAACCUUGACAUUUACAAGAUGAUUGGAUCAGAUUUAGGUCUGGUAGUACGGGUUAACAAGUCUGAGGUGAUGCCCCUAUUCAUGUCAUAGAUAACUUUGAAGUCACCAGGAUAGAAUUUUGCUUGUUCCUUGGGCAUCCUCCUUUUACGUGGAAUUAAAAAUAUGUUAACAAACUAGUGGUGUCCAUGCAGUAAUAUUUAGUAAUUGCUGCAAGGCAUCAGUUUUUAUUAUUAUUUUACUUAUUAUUUCGUCUCUAAUAAAUUUUCUAGGGCAAUGGUCUCAUGAGGAUGCUUAACGUUGCUGCUUUUGCUGUUUCUGGAUAUGCUUCUACGGAUGGCAGAACCUGCAAGCCCUUUAAUCCACUCCUGGGGGAAACAUACGAGGCUGAUUAUCC
RNAcentral lists this long non-coding RNA (1179 nucleotides) under Musa acuminata (dwarf banana). RNAcentral's name for it is "long non-coding RNA (MACU_LNC006116)". The record is from RNAcentral. Lineage: Eukaryota; Viridiplantae; Streptophyta; Magnoliopsida; Zingiberales; Musaceae.